CCUACGGGAGGCAGCAGUGGGGAAUAUUGGACAAUGGGCGCAAGCCUGAUCCAGCAAUGCCGCGUGAGUGAUGAAGGCCUUAGGGUCGUAAAGCUCUUUUACCAGGGAUGAUAAUGACAGUACCUGGAGAAUAAGCUCCGGCUAACUCCGUGCCAGCAGCCGCGGUAAUACGGAGGGAGCUAGCGUUGUUCGGAAUUACUGGGCGUAAAGCGUACGUAGGCGGUUAUUCAAGUCAGAGGUGAAAGCCCGGGGCUCAACCCCGGAACGGCCUUUGAAACUAGGUAGCUAGAAUCUUGGAGAGGUCAGUGGAAUUCCGAGUGUAGAGGUGAAAUUCGUAGAUAUUCGGAAGAACACCAGUGGCGAAGGCGACUGACUGGACAAGUAUUGACGCUGAGGUACGAAAGCGUGGGGAGCAAACAGGAUUAGAUACCCUGGUAGUCCACGCCGUAAACGAUGAUAACUAGCUGUUCGGGCACUUGGUGCUUGAGUGGCGCAGCUACGCAUUAAGUUAUUCCGUCCGUCGGGGUAGGUACGGUCGCGAAGAAUUAAAACGUUAAAAGGUAAAGUUAGUACGGCGUGAGACGUGCCGACGGACGACCGACGAGGGAGGUAGG
Molecule: ribosomal RNA, 614 nt
Filed under: uncultured bacterium
Lineage: Bacteria
Description: bacterial SSU rRNA
Rfam family: Bacterial small subunit ribosomal RNA (bases 1-518)
Source: RNAcentral